This 352-nucleotide ribosomal RNA is filed under the name uncultured bacterium. Its description in RNAcentral is "bacterial SSU rRNA". It matches the Rfam family "Bacterial small subunit ribosomal RNA", at positions 22 to 356 of the family's 1533-position model. The record is from RNAcentral.
GCUCAGGAUGAACGCUGGCGGCGUGCCUAACACAUGCAAGUCGAACGAAGCGAUUCAACGGAAAUUUUCGGAUGGAAGUUGAAUUGACUGAGUGGCGGACGGGUGAGUAACGCGUGGGUAACCUGCCUUGUACUGGGGGACAACAGUUAGAAAUGACUGCUAAUACCGCAUAAGCGCACAGUAUCGCAUGAUACAGUGUGAAAAACUCCGGUGGUACAAGAUGGACCCGCGUCUGAUUAGCUAGUUGGUAAGGUAACGGCUUACCAAGGCGACGAUCAGUAGCCGACCUGAGAGGGUGACCGGCCACAUUGGGACUGAGACACGGCCCAAACUCCUACGGGAGGCAGCAGUA